Molecule: non-coding RNA, 25 nt
Filed under: Cricetulus griseus (Chinese hamster)
Lineage: Eukaryota; Metazoa; Chordata; Mammalia; Rodentia; Cricetidae
Source: RNAcentral
GAAAUAAAAGACCUGGACUGUAAAG